AGCUGUUAGAGUUGGAAAGCACACUGACUUCAAGCCUCGAUAGCUUGUGAUAGAGAAGAGCUCCAAAAAGCUGGCGUCAAUCUUAUUGGCUGUACCUUUUAUCUCAAGCUGUUAGAGUUGGAAAGCGCACUGACUUCAAGCCUCGAUAGCUUGUGAUAGAGAAGAGCUCCAAAAAGCUGGCGUCAAUCUUAUUGGCUGUACCCUUCAUCUCAAGCUGUUAGAGUUGGAAAGCACACUGACUUCAAGCUUGGGAUAGAGAAGAGCUCCAAAACGCUGGCGUCAAUCUUAUUGGCUGUACCCUUCAUCUCAAGCUGUUAAAGUUGGAAAGCACACUGACUUCAAGCCUCGGUAUCUUGUGAUAGAGAAAAGCUCCAAAAAGCUGGCGUGAAUAAAACUGACUUAUCUUGCUUUGCUGUCGUAUUCUUUGUUGUUUCACGGUGUUUGAGGCCGUUUGGAAGCGUUUUCAGCGAGUUAGCGCUGCUGGUGGUG
Molecule: long non-coding RNA, 489 nt
Organism: Orbicella faveolata
Lineage: Eukaryota; Metazoa; Cnidaria; Anthozoa; Scleractinia; Merulinidae
Source: RefSeq, a predicted model, not a curated record